AUUCCUACGGGAGGCAGCAGUGAGGAAUAUUGGUCAAUGGUCGCAAGACUGAACCAGCCAAGUAGCGUGAGGGAAGACUGCCCUAUGGGUUGUAAACCUCUUUUAUCUGGGGAUAAAGUGAGCCACGUGUGGCUUAUUGCAGGUACCAGAAGAAUAAGGACCGGCUAAUUCCGUGCCAGCAGCCGCGGUAAUACGGAAGGUCCAGGCGUUAUCCGGAUUUAUUGGGUUUAAAGGGAGCGUAGGCCGCUUGGUAAGCGGGCAGUGAAAUGCAGAGGCUCAACCUCUGACUUGCUGUUCGAACUGCCAGGCUUGAGUACGCACGAGGUAGGCGGAAUUUGUGGUGUAGCGGUGAAAUGCUUAGAUAUGACGAAGAACUCCGAUUGCGAAGGCAGCUGACGGGAGCGCAACUGACGCUGAAGCUCGAAGGUGCGGGUAUCGAACAGGAUUAGAUACCCUGGUAGUCCCAGCCGUAAACGAUGGACGCUAGGUGUGGGGAGAUGUACUCUCCGUGCCGCAGCUAACGCAUUAAGCGUCCCGCCUGGGGAGUUCGGCCGCAAGGCUAAAACUCAAAGGAAUUGACGGAAU
RNAcentral lists this ribosomal RNA (585 nucleotides) under uncultured bacterium. Its description in RNAcentral is "bacterial SSU rRNA". It matches the Rfam family "Bacterial small subunit ribosomal RNA", at positions 335 to 919 of the family's 1533-position model. The record is from RNAcentral.